UUUAUGCGAAAUCGUCUACUGGCAUUACCAUCUCUCAAAACAUUUUCCUGGACUUUUAACUAAAGAUUUUUUCCAUUGUAAUGGGCACAAGUGCAAUUUCCCUUUCAUUUUAAGAGACUGUGAGAAGUAACAAAUCAGUACCAGCACCUAUAGAUAGCAUGUUGUAGAAAAUGGCAAGAAUAUGGGUGAUGGUCUUGUUUUCCCAAGCUGCUACAGAGCUUCUGCAGCUCCAAGCAUGACCACUAUAUUUGGCUGCUUAAAAGCAUAACAAGGGCAGAAAUCAUAAAGGCUUUGCCCAGAGGGCCUUGAUUGUCCUUGCCUUCUUGUCCUUUGGUGAGAACUUCAUUGGUGGUGGCUCCAAAAAUCAGGAGACUUUCUGUGAUGAAUUCACCAUAAGAACGUGGGACCCAGCCUCCCUUGAAGGACGUAAGUACCCAAUAUCUGAAGA
RNAcentral lists this long non-coding RNA (448 nucleotides) under Homo sapiens (human). Its description in RNAcentral is "HSALNT0225344". Lineage: Eukaryota; Metazoa; Chordata; Mammalia; Primates; Hominidae. The record is from RNAcentral.